CACUUAAAGGAAGGAGCAGGCGCGCAAUUACCCAAUCCUGACUCAGGGAGGUAGUGACAAGAAAUAACAAUAAACCGGCUUAUGCCGGUUUAAUUGGAAUGAGUACAAUUUAAACAUCUUAACGAGGAACAAUUGGAGGGCAAGUCUGGUGCCAGCAGCCGCGGUAAUUCCAGCUCCAAUAGCGUAUACUAAAGUUGUUGCAGUUAAAAAGCUCGUAGUUGGAUUUCUGUGGGGACGGAGCGGCCGGCCGCACAUCGCGGUUCGAGCUAGCGCUUUCCCUACAUCCUGCCGCGAACCGUGCUACCAUUAGUUUGGUGGCGCCGGGGAUCGGCUCGAUUACUUUGAGAAAAAUAGAGUGUUCAAAGCAGGCCACAUGCCUUGAAUAAGUUAGCAUGGAAUAAUAACUAAGGACUUCGGUUCUAUUUUGUUGGUGUUCGGGACUGAAGUAAUGAUUGAUAGGGACAGUUGGGGCGGUCUGUAUUCCAAAGCGAGAGGUGAAAUUCUUAGACCUUCGGAAGACAAACAGCUGCGAAAGCGUUCCGCAAGGAUGUUCCCGUUGAUCAAGAACGAAAGUUGGGGGAUCGAAGACGAUCAGAUACCGUCGUAGUCUCAACUAUAAACUAUACCAGCUAGGGAUCGGCCAACGUUAUUUUAUACCGACUUGGUCGGCACCUUAUGAGAAAUCAAAGCAUCUGGGUUCCGGGGGGAGUAUGGUCGCAAGGCUGAAACUUAAAGGAAUUGACGGAAGGGCACCACCAGCCGUGGAGCCUGUGGCUUAAUUUGACUCAACACGGGAAAACUUACCAGGUCCAGACAUAGUAAGGAUUGACAGAUUGAUAGCUCUUUCUUGAUUCUGUGGGUGGUGGUGCAUGGCCGUUCUUAGUUGGUGGAGUGAUUUGUCUGGUUAAUUCCGUUAACGAACGGGACCCCAGCCUGCUAAAUAGCGCGCGUGAGCUUUGCUCGCGGCGAGCUUCUUAGAGGGACUAUGAUGCGCGAUAGCACAUGGAAGUUUGGGGCAAUAACAGGUCUGUGAUGCCCUUAGAUGUUCUGGGCCGCACACGGGCUACACUGGCGCCUGCAACGAGCAUAUCAGCUGGCCCGAGAGGGUCUUGGCUAAUCUUUUGAACCGGCGCCGUGCUUGGGAUUGACCUUUGCAAUUGUCGGUCAUGCAACGAGGAAUGCCUUGUAAACGCGAGUCAUCAGCUCGCAUUGAAUACGUCCCUGCCCUUUGUACACACCGCCCGUCGCUCCUACCGAUGAAUGUUCCGAUGAAAUUUUCGGAGAGCACCUGUGAACUUGGCUCUGCCUUGCGAACGGGAGGCUCAAAGUCAC
Molecule: ribosomal RNA, 1332 nt
Filed under: uncultured marine eukaryote
Lineage: Eukaryota
Description: SSU rRNA
Rfam family: Eukaryotic small subunit ribosomal RNA
Source: RNAcentral